GGGCUCGUGGCUCAGUUUGGAUAGAGCGACUGGCUUCGGACCAGUAGGUCGAGGGUUCAAAUUGAGGGGACUCCCUCAAGGCGUGAGCGACAUUCACAUAUAGAAUGUGAAGUCACUUGUUAAUUAUUGAGUUAAUAUGCGCUUUGGAGUCUUUUCAGGAAUAUCCCUUCGGGCUCA
RNAcentral lists this transfer RNA (177 nucleotides) under Candidatus Terrarchaeum hikurangii. RNAcentral describes it as "tRNA-Arg". Lineage: Archaea; Nanobdellati; Candidatus Terrarchaeota; Candidatus Terrarchaeia; Candidatus Terrarchaeales; Candidatus Terrarchaeaceae. The record is from RNAcentral.